Long non-coding RNA from Homo sapiens (human), 474 nucleotides. NCBI's taxonomy places the organism in Eukaryota, Metazoa, Chordata, Mammalia, Primates, Hominidae. The record is from Ensembl.
AAGAGCAACCCUGAAAAAUUACUGAAUGUGAAGAAAUGGACACCGAGCUGGGGCAGCAGUGGACUUGGGGCAUGAGCAGGUUGAUGUCAGAAAAUACACCAAUAACCUCGGGAUUGUGCAUGAGAUGGAGCUGCCCCGCGUCAGUGCCCUGGAGGUGAAGGUAAGAGCCUGUGCCUGCUGCGUGGGAGGCUGCUUCAGGGACUGGGAAUCGGGUGAUCGGUAAGGCAGAGGGGGUGGCCUGUGGGCCUGUGUGGUGGUGAGUGGGCCACGGCUGUCACUGGGAGGGGUGGCCUUUCCUGCUGGACUCUGUUCCCAUGAGGGCUUGACCAAAACCCAAACCAAGAACUGUAGUCCUGGCUCAGAGUCCACUGCCUGUUUGAACCAAGACCCCAGCUGAAGGCUGGACCUGACCAAAACUUGGGGCCUCUAUGGCCUGAGGAUGGCAUGUCCUGGCAUCACCAGUCCAGACUACCA